CGUCGCAGAGGGUGAGAAUCCCGUACGCGCCGCUGGCCAAGCCCGUGUGAAGCCCUUUCGACGAGUCGAGUUGUUUGGGAAUGCAGCUCCAAGUGGGUGGUAAAUUUCAUCUAAAGCUAAAUAUCUGCCGGCGACCGAUAGCGCACAAGUAGAGUGAUCGAAAGAUGAAAAGCACUUUGAAAAGAGAGUCAAACAGUACGUGAAAUUGUUGAAAGGGAAGCGCUUGCAACCAGACUCGUUCGCGGAUGUUUAGCCGCCCUUCGGGGCGGUGCCCUCUUCCGCAGACGGGCCAGCAUCGGUUCUGGCGGCCGGAUAAAGGCUCCGGGAACGUAGUUUCCUUCGGGAAAUGUUAUAGCCCGGGGUGCAAUGCGGCCAGCCGGGACCGAGGACUGCGCAUUUGCUAGGAUGCUGGCGUAAUGGUUGCCAGCGACCCGUCUUGAAACACGGACCAAGGAGUCGACCAACCGGGCGAGUGUUUGGGUGUGAAGCCCCGACGCGCAAUGAAAGUAAACGUAGGUGGGAGCUUUUGCGCACCAUCGACCGAUCCUGAUGUCUUCGGAUGGAUUUGAGUACGAGCCCGGCUGGUCGGAC
Molecule: ribosomal RNA, 591 nt
Filed under: Ocellularia dolichotata
Lineage: Eukaryota; Fungi; Ascomycota; Lecanoromycetes; Ostropales; Graphidaceae
Description: eukaryotic LSU rRNA
Rfam family: Eukaryotic large subunit ribosomal RNA
Source: RNAcentral